Molecule: ribosomal RNA, 252 nt
Filed under: uncultured bacterium
Lineage: Bacteria
Description: partial 16S ribosomal RNA
Rfam family: Bacterial small subunit ribosomal RNA
Source: RNAcentral
UACGAAGGGUGCAAGCGUUACUCGGAAUUACUGGGCGUAAAGCGUGCGUAGGUGGUUUGUUAAGUCUGCUGUGAAAGCCCCGGGCUCAACCUGGGAAUUGCAUUCGAGACUGCGUGGCUAGGGUGCGGAAGAGGGAAGCGGAAUUUCCGGUGUAGCGGUGAAAUGCGUAGAUAUCGGAAGGAACACCAGUGGCGAAAGCGGCUUCCUGGUCCAGCACCGACGUCAGGCACGAAAGCGUGGGGAGCAAACAGG